UCGCGGUGAUGGCCGACGUGGUACCGCGGCUGCUCGCCCCCGGCGGCCGGGUGAUCCCGGAGACCGGCGCGAUCGUCGUCGCACCGGCGUGGU
RNAcentral lists this transfer RNA (93 nucleotides) under Pleomorphomonas sp. SM30. RNAcentral's name for it is "tRNA-Gly". RNAcentral also lists the same sequence under 1 other name. Lineage: Bacteria; Pseudomonadati; Pseudomonadota; Alphaproteobacteria; Hyphomicrobiales; Pleomorphomonadaceae. The record is from RNAcentral.